Molecule: long non-coding RNA, 1177 nt
Organism: Mustela erminea (ermine)
Lineage: Eukaryota; Metazoa; Chordata; Mammalia; Carnivora; Mustelidae
Exons: 4
Source: RefSeq, a predicted model, not a curated record
AGCUUAUUUGGCUAAUCUUUUUUCUUUCACGUAAUAUCUGUUACCAUCUUGUGGAACUUUGGGAGAUGCUGGUAUGGAUAUAUUCUCACCUAAUGAGCUGAAGGACGUUGACUGCUCCUAUUCUGAUGAAGCCUCUGAGACUGGAGUGGUGAUGUCAUGGAAAAGAAGAUGACAUUCACAUCCCAAGAAAGGGCUGAAAAAAAGAACAAGCAUACUGCCUUAUGUGAAAGUUCCUGAAAGCUUUUACACACUUAACUUCCAUCCCAUCAGCCAGAAAUUGGUGACUACACUUAACAGUAAGGGAGAUACAAAUAUGUAGUUCUUAUUCUAAUGAGCAGUGAGUAGUGAGUCACCUUAUGAUCAGGAAUUCUAUUCUUUCAUGAAAAAACAAAUGGAGAUUACAGAGAAGCAAUCCCAAUACUGAUUUUAAGGACCAACCUGAAGUCUGAGACUACUCCCUUGGGAGUAGCACAUUUUCCACAGUUAGAGGAAUUUUAGUUCCAGGAUAGGGCACUUAACAAAUUCAAGCAGAGCAGAAACCCUGGAUUAUAGAAGAGACUGGAGAUCAGUUUAUGUCAACUUUGAUCUCUUCACGUUACCCUUUCUGCAGGUCCUCAGGUUACAGACCUGUAACCUUGGGCAUAGAGCAUAAACAUCGUUAACACCUCAAAGUACAUAGGUAAUUUGGAAGAGAAAACAAACUCGUUUCUGAUACUGAAAGAAGGAAUAAGGAAGAUAUUUAUAAUACAGAAAUGAAAAGAAAUAAAAUUAGAGAAUUGGGAUAAAACGGCUCAAGGAUGAACAAAUGGGGGAAAAAUGGCUUAGCACAGCUAUCUAAGCAACAGAAAAAAAAAAAACAAAAACAACUUGUUUUUAAAGAUAAUUUACAAUGCAAAAGACUGAACCCAACUUUGAAGAAACAAAAACCAAGGAACAGAAAGCAAUUCCUCACAAGAGAUUUAUGCUACAAAAUAACGUAAGAAUAUAAUUAAAUAAAAUGAAAAAUCAAAGAGAAGAAGACAGAACAGCAGAAUGAGAUUAAAAGAGAGGUUGCAUGCUAAAGAAACAAACUUUCCCUGGAUGUGUUGCCAAGUCUUAAGCAAAGUAGAACGGUAUUUUCUGAUUAGACGCAGGCAGCUUACAACAGGGAAAUGUUGAUGAUGAAAAAGGACUUUGG